CAUGUAACUAUCUAUUAUUAACCAUCAUUAUCUAGUGAAUUUUUGCUAUUGUUCUACAAUCCCAACAAUGAAUGAUGAUGUGAAAAAAUGCAAAAUUGAAAGCAGAUGCUGUGUUUGUAAUAAUGCAUGGGAGACAAGCAUUUUUUUGAAAAUGUUGAUAACAAAGUAAUGUGCCUUAUAUGCCAUGAUAGUGUUGUUAUUUCAAAGUACAAUUUGAAAAAGCAUUUUCAAACCAAGUGCAGCACAUUUGGAAGUAAUUUAUCUGAAAGUGAAUUACAGCAGAAAGCUAAUAAUUUAUUGAAAAUGUCAGUUUCCAGCAUAAUUGCAAUACUUUCUUUUAUGAAUACCUCAUGUAUCAAAACAUAAACAUUUUUUUUUAUAUGGGGCCUGCUGGAGACCUUACAAAAGUCUGUGUGGCUGCAGUCGGAAAAAUUUUCCCAACCCUUCUAUAGAGGAAUCAUGGCCACAGAGUUAGCCCAAUUAGGAGUGUAGCUUGCAUGCCUAUCCAAUUUAUCUGUUUGUCUAAAUUUCUGUAUAAGCUACCUGAAAAGGAAAUUUGCCUAGUAUGUAGUGAUCCAAAUGGUAGGAUAUUAGAGCAUUAUGCUAAAAGUCCUCUGUUUGAUUCUGAAGACAAAUUUCAUUUUCAGAUAAGUAUUAAAAUUUCUAUUUUAGUUUUAGUGAAUAGAUGGAGC
RNAcentral lists this long non-coding RNA (692 nucleotides) under Androctonus crassicauda. Lineage: Eukaryota; Metazoa; Arthropoda; Arachnida; Scorpiones; Buthidae. The record is from RNAcentral.